Molecule: ribosomal RNA, 157 nt
Filed under: Cladonia convoluta
Lineage: Eukaryota; Fungi; Ascomycota; Lecanoromycetes; Lecanorales; Cladoniaceae
Description: 5.8S ribosomal RNA
Rfam family: 5.8S ribosomal RNA
About the family: 5.8S ribosomal RNA (5.8S rRNA) is a component of the large subunit of the eukaryotic ribosome. It is transcribed by RNA polymerase I as part of the 45S precursor that also contains 18S and 28S rRNA.
Source: RNAcentral
AACUUUCAACAACGGAUCUCUUGGUUCUGGCAUCGAUGAAGAACGCAGCGAAAUGUGAUAAGUAAUGUGAAUUGCAGAAUUCAGUGAAUCAUCGAAUCUUUGAACGCACAUUGCGCCCCUCGGUAUUCCGGGGGGCAUGCCUGUUCGAGCGUCAUUA